This 253-nucleotide ribosomal RNA is filed under the name uncultured bacterium. RNAcentral describes it as "partial 16S ribosomal RNA". It matches the Rfam family "Bacterial small subunit ribosomal RNA", at positions 524 to 776 of the family's 1533-position model. The record is from RNAcentral.
GACGAACCGUGCGAACGUUGUUCGGAAUCACUGGGCUUAAAGGGCGCGUAGGCGGGCUGCCAAGUCUGGGGUGAAAUCCCACGGCUCAACCGUGGAACUGCCUUGGAUACUGGCGGCCUCGAGGGAGGUAGGGGCAUGCGGAACUGUGGGUGGAGCGGUGAAAUGCGUUGAUAUCCACAGGAACUCCGGUGGCGAAGGCGGCGUGCUGGGCCUCUUCUGACGCUGAGGCGCGAAAGCCAGGGGAGCAAACGGG